Long non-coding RNA from Crotalus tigris (Tiger rattlesnake), 1523 nucleotides. RefSeq lists it as uncharacterized. The transcript has 3 exons. The record is from RefSeq and is a predicted model, not a curated record. Lineage: Eukaryota; Metazoa; Chordata; Lepidosauria; Squamata; Viperidae.
CCCGGACAAUCCCAUCAACUCAGGAAUAUGGGAUAGGAGAGAGGUCUCCAAACCUAGCCAUUUUCAGACUUGUGGUCUUCAAUUACCAGAAUGGCUGGCUGAGGAAUUCUGGGAGUUGAAGUCCACAAGUCUUAAAGUGGCCAAGCUUGGAGACCCCCCCUCCCCAGGAAAAGACACACACAUAUCUGGAAAGCUUUUCGUUGAAGGAGGGCGAUUUAAGGGGUUAUGGGUGGUAUGAGAUGCACAUGGGAGUAUGGAUAGCUUCUACUCACCUCCAGAUACACAGCAGUAUCUCCAAAAGAGCAAUCUGCUGAAAGCAACACCAUGUCAGCAACCGGACAGAUGUGCAUCUAAUUUAGAUGGCUGCAAAGCCUGUGAUAAUGUUAUUGGAGCAGUGUUUGCUUUGCUCUAGCUGAACUUGGCUAUUGCAGAGUGAUUAGGCGCAUUUGAAGCAAUCUAAUACAGCAGGAACCCUCAGCCAAGAAGCCAGAGCGCUGCCAAGUAGUAGUGUGAUUCUGGUGCACCAGUAGUAGAUGAAUGAAGCUGAGUUUCACUUCUUCUGUGAGAGCAUUUUGGAGGCAUCCUCUUUUGAAUAUCAAAUUCCCGUCAGAUGUUCUACAGGACAGCUCUGUUACGAAAUUUCAAUCAGGGCAUUUGCAAAGCCUUAUAUCUGAAGAGUCAUCUUUCUGUCUGGCUCUCCUCUUUAAUAAACUACAACCUUUCUAAAGCAGUCACCAUGUUGUUUAUUCCCAGCUUGGACUGAACCAUGAUGAAGACUUUUCCUUCAACAGAACCUCACAGAAUGUUCUUCUCUGCUUUUAUUUUCUCACCAAGAAAUGACCUCAAAUUCUGACCUGUGACGAACCCUAAGAAAACGCUGGUCAGGACCCAGAAUUCCCACUCCAUGACUCUCUUGCCAUACGAAUAAUUGCUGAUGUAUCAGGAGAAUUGUUCUUGGCUACCCCUCACCACACUUUCUUAGGAAAUCAUCUAACACUGAUUUCCUUGGCAAACCUGAAGGACAUUGUCUCACCUGAAUUUGCACAGUAUCUUCUUUCUCUUGUGUCCAAGGUCACACCCUGUGCUAAUAGGGUUUAGCUCACUGUGGGGGGAUCAUUUCAGCUGCUGUGUGCUUAGGAGAUGUGGUUGAUGCUUUGGUGUGUGAGGCAAAGCCAUCCAGUUCUGGCUUGUUUAAGAAACCAUGCUUAAACUGUGGCUUUACACAAUAGGUGAAACUUGGGACACAGCUCACACAACAUACUAAGCCAGUUGUAGGAAACUGGUUAUUAUUGUUUCUGUUUAUAUCAUAUAUUUGUGAGGUGUGUGUGUGUGUGUGUGUGUGUACGUGUGUGUGUUUAUAUAUGUAUAUAUAUCUGUGGAAAUUAACCUAUUAUUAACCAACCCUACUUAAAUAAACCAUGGCUUAGAUGCUGUAGAAAAUUGCCACAUGGUUGCAUUUCUUUGAUAAUCCAGACUCUUUCCCCUGCCUUCAAGAAUUCAGUCCCAAUGGGAAAUACAGAUAG